UAAACUCAAAGGAAUUGACGGGGGCCCGCACAAGCGGCGGAGCAUGUGGCUUAAUUCGACGCAACGCGAAGAACCUUACCAAGGCUUGACAUACACCGGAAACAUCCAGAGAUGGGUGCCCCCUUGUGGUCGGUGUACAGGUGGUGCAUGGCUGUCGUCAGCUCGUGUCGUGAGAUGUUGGGUUAAGUCCCGCAACGAGCGCAACCCUUGUCCCGUGUUGCCAGCAGGCCCUUGUGGUGCUGGGGACUCACGGGAGACCGCCGGGGUCAACUCGGAGGAAG
This 281-nucleotide ribosomal RNA is filed under the name uncultured Streptomyces sp. RNAcentral describes it as "partial 16S ribosomal RNA". It matches the Rfam family "Bacterial small subunit ribosomal RNA", at positions 896 to 1172 of the family's 1533-position model. Lineage: Bacteria; Bacillati; Actinomycetota; Actinomycetes; Kitasatosporales; Streptomycetaceae. The record is from RNAcentral.